Molecule: ribosomal RNA, 646 nt
Filed under: Cryptococcus sp. VTT C-04545
Lineage: Eukaryota; Fungi; Basidiomycota; Tremellomycetes; Tremellales; Cryptococcaceae
Description: eukaryotic LSU rRNA
Rfam family: Eukaryotic large subunit ribosomal RNA
Source: RNAcentral
UGCAUAUCAAUAAGCGGAGGAAAAGAAACUAACAAGGAUUCCCCUAGUAACGGCGAGUGAAGCGGGAUGAGCUCAAAUUUGUAAUCUGGUGGACUCAGUUCAUCCGAGUUGUAAUCUAUAGAAAAGUUUUCCGCGCCGGACCGUGUCUAAGUCCCUUGGAACAGGGUGUCAGAGAGGGUGAGAAUCCCGUGCUUGAUACGACCACCGGUGCUAUGUGAUACUUUUUCAACGAGUCGAGUUGUUUGGGAAUGCAGCUCAAAAUGGGUGGUAAAUUCCAUCUAAAGCUAAAUAUUGGCGAGAGACCGAUAGCGAACAAGUACCGUGAGGGAAAGAUGAAAAGCACUUUGGAAAGAGAGUUAAACAGUACGUGAAAUUGUUAAAAGGGAAACGAUUGAAGUCAGUCGUGCUCUCUGGGACUCAGCCGGUUCUUCCGGUGUAUUUCCCAGUGAGCGGGUCAACAUCAGUUUAGAUCGCUGGAUAAGGUCAUUAGGAAUGUGGCUCCCUCGGGAGUGUUAUAGCCUAGUGUCGCAUACAGUGGUUUAGACUGAGGAACGCAGCUCGCCUUUAUGGCCGGGGUUCGCCCACGUCCGAGCUUAGGAUGUUGACAUAAUGGCUUUAAACGACCCGUCUUGGAAACACGGACCAA